UACGAAGGGGGCUAGCGUUGCUUGGAAUCACUGGGCGUAAAGGGUGCGUAGGCGGGUUUUUAAGUCAGAGGUGAAAUCCUGGAGCUCAACUCCAGAACUGCCUUUGAUACUGAAAGUCUUGAGUAUGGGAGAGGUGAGUGGAACUGCGAGUGUAGAGGUGAAAUUCGUAGAUAUUCGCAAGAACACCAGUGGCGAAGGCGGCUCACUGGCCCAUAACUGACGCUGAGGCACGAAAGCGUGGGGAGCAAACAGG
This 253-nucleotide ribosomal RNA is filed under the name uncultured bacterium. RNAcentral describes it as "partial 16S ribosomal RNA". It matches the Rfam family "Bacterial small subunit ribosomal RNA", at positions 524 to 776 of the family's 1533-position model. The record is from RNAcentral.